AAGUCGUAACAAGGUUUCCGUAGGUGAACCUGCGGAAGGAUCAUUACUGAGUUCAUGCCCUUACGGGUAGAUCUCCCACCCUGUGUUAUUAUUACCUUUGUUGCUUUGGCGGGCCGUCAGGUUUCGGUCAGGCUACCGGCUCCGGCUGGUAAGCGCCCGCCAGAGGACCCCAAACUCUGAAUAUUAGUGUCGUCUGAGUACUAUAUAAUAGUUAAAACUUUCAACAACGGAUCUCUUGGUUCUG
Molecule: unclassified non-coding RNA, 244 nt
Filed under: Helotiales sp.
Lineage: Eukaryota; Fungi; Ascomycota; Leotiomycetes; Helotiales
Description: partial contains small subunit ribosomal RNA, internal transcribed spacer 1, and 5.8S ribosomal RNA
Rfam family: Eukaryotic small subunit ribosomal RNA (bases 1-46)
Source: RNAcentral